GAUGAACGCUGGCGGCGUGCCUAAUACAUGCAAGUCGAGCGAACAGACGAGGAGCUUUCUCCUCUGACGUUAGCGGCGGACGGGUGAGUAACACGUGGAUCACCUUCUUCUUAGACUGGGAUAACUUCGGGAAACCGGAGCUACUACCGGAUAAUAUAUUGAACCGCAUGGUUCAAUAGUGAAAGAUGGUUUUGCUGUAACUUAUAGAUGGAUCCGCGCCGCAUUAGCUAGUUGGUAAGGUAACGGCUUACCAAGGCUACGAUGCGUAGCCGACCUGAGAGGGUGAUCAGCCACACUGGAACUGAGACACGGUCCAGACUCCUACGGGAGGCAGCAGUAGGGAAUCUUCCACAAUGGGCGAAAGCCUGACGGAGCAACGCCGCGUGAGUGAUGAAGGUCUUCGGAUCGUAAAACUCUGUUAUUAGGGAAGAACAAAUGUGUAAGUAACUAUGCACGUCUUGACGGUACCUAAACAGAAAGCCACGGCUAACUACGUG
Molecule: ribosomal RNA, 497 nt
Filed under: uncultured bacterium
Lineage: Bacteria
Description: partial 16S ribosomal RNA
Rfam family: Bacterial small subunit ribosomal RNA
Source: RNAcentral